UUACCGCUCUCCCGCUCCUCUUCGGAAUAUUGUGACGUUAUGACCUUUCCUCCAAUGUCCAAUAUCCAGGAUUUCUUUCUGCAGGAAGAAUAUGGGAGACAAAAAGAUACUCAGCAUUGGUUUGGUGUGUCUGGAUAUCAUAAAUGUUGUGGAUAAAUACCCGGAAGAAGAUACUGAUACCAGGUGCAUCACAAGUGGUUUGUAGGUGUUUACCUCAGAGAUGGCAGAGGGGAGGAAACGCUUCAAACAUGUGCACUGUUUUGUCUCUACUUGGGGCCCCGUGUACAUUUAUGGGGUCUUUGGCUCCUGGACCAGUAGCUGAGUAAGUGUUUUCUACCUACUAUUAUGCAACAACAUUUUUAGAGUAAUAGGUUAUAUAUGAUACAAAUAGAAUAUAUAAAGAAUGACAGUGUGUGUGAGUAAUACAUUUAUAAUUUAUAUAACAUACCAAGAUAUACUGAUAUUUGUAUGCUGGAUGCGUUUUCAUCUUUUCUUACUCCAAGUUUUUAUAUAAGCAGAAAUACACUACCCUAUCCCUUACACAUUUUCCAAUAGUCACAUCUUUUCUUUGUUUACAUUAGCUACACACUUAAGUUCUGUAGGCAUACUUUACCUUGCUAAUUUGUUCUUCUAGCUUCAUCUUUAAUGAUUUUCAAAUGUACACGAUUGACAUCUCUCUUCUUCUCGAGCAUGCUGAAUGCUCUUUUCCAGCCUCUGUAGUAAUCAGCAGUGUGACCACAGGAAGCCAUACAAUUCUGCAUAUGAACAGGUUUGUGUGUGAGAGUAUAUCUGUAAGUAUUACGAAGCUCUUUCCUCACAGGACAGCUGACGUAUUCCUGACGCAAAACAACAAGUGAAAAUACACUACUGCUUUUUCUGUUUUAAGGGGUGCACUGAAGGUGCAUGGUUUGAAACUGGCAAGCAUUGUGAGCCGGCUAAAUGUUUCCUGCUCAAAUUAGUCAGUAGUGCAUAUGGGUCACUGCAAUACCUCUCUGUUUGCUGUACUAGUUUCAUCAUGGGGGAUUUUGUACGCCGAGGGGUGGACAUAUCUGCUGUGGCUUGGCAGCAGUGGGGUGAGACCCCAUGUGCCUGUUGUGUGGUGUGUCCUACCAAUGGCUCUCGCACUGUCAUGCUCUCAGACACGUAAGAGUAGCAUCCAAAGUCACAGUAAUCAUUCUCAAACAUAAUCUGAUAAAAGUCUUUCUGCAGUGGCACUGCCGUAAUUGACAGUAAUUUAGGGGCCGUUUACACAACAGCAUUUUAAACUAAAAACUGAAAACUUUCAUUUACCCGACAAUGGCAUUUUGGGGGCCUGAAAAUGCUAAUUUUUGAAAAUGGCGACGUCAUGCGCAUGCGAAGGCCUAUAACAUGUUCAGUCUAUAGGUGCAGAAUUUUUCUUGACAAAGUGAUAUCGCCAACUACAGGCCUGGCAUGAAUAAUACAGCAUUUUUGGUUUCACAGAUCUGUGUGAAUGGCGAUCGUAUUGACAACGUUGUCGUUUGCACGCGAAAAACCCAAUGGAAAAACUUUUCGGUUUUUAGUACAUUGUUGUCGUGUAAAUGUACCCUUAGUCUUAAAGUAUAUUCUAUUAACAAAUCAUGACAAUUUGACAUUGCAUGCAUUAAUUUGAGUGCUUAUUUUUUGGAGAUUUGUCAUUGUCAUUAAUUUAUUUUUCUAUUAGAUGUCUGUUUUGUCCAAGAUUAUUUGAAUCAAACAACACACAACAGCACACAAUGUCAAAGCUUACUAGGUAACUAGCUAACUUAUUCCACGGCUCUCUGAAAUACUUGAUUCUGAUUGAUCAGUUUCCACAUUGUAUGGCCAAAUAUUUGUGUAUAAUGACCACUAAACUAUCUGGCCAUUGUCCCUGGCAACUGAUUUUACUACAUAGCAUAGCAUACUAUAUACUACACAAAAUAAAAAUAAUUUCAGCUCAAAUAAAUAUGUACUUGUAUCUAUUUAUGUAUUUGUACAUAUCUAUUUAUGUAUAUAUUUGCUAAGUAGCCGUGUAAUAAGUGAGAUAAUGUUCAAUCAUUCAUUCAUUAUCACAAAAUAAACCCCUGCAGAAUGAUAUAAAACCUCUCCACUUAACGUAAAGGUGCUGAUCGGCCUGCUGAGGUUUAUAUUUGUGGUUAAGACUGGUUGACUGUACAUUAUCAUUUACUUGUAUAUAAAAUAUACUAAUAUAUAAAACAACAUUUAUUUUCAUCUUGGCCUUGAAUAACAUUUCUUGUCUCUAAAACUUAUUUUGAGAACUUUCAAAACCUUUUCCUUCUAUGCUGAGAAACAGACUUUGGUUUAUAAUCAUAAUAAUCUUAUAAUAACAGCCCAAAGCUGACUAUUUCUCUGUGCUUAUGACUGUUAUCAAAUGUUUUACUGUAUAUAAACUGACAGGCAUCUGGUCUAAGGGAAUAAUCUAGGGUUUUACCAUUAUAAAGACCUUCACUGAUUCAGUUUGUGACUGUAAACAGUUUGGUUUUAUAUGAUUACAGCAGAUCAUGUCACAAUAAUUGAUAGUAAUAGUGACUUAUCAUGUACACAAAGUACAGUCAUUACUUAUUAUUUACUGAUCUUUCUUUGAACACUGAUUGUUGUAGUCCAACACACAAGAGAACUUUCAUCAGCAAUUUUCUCUGUUUAAUCAGAAACUUGCCAGAUGUUUCUGUAGAAGACUUUUCAAAGGUGGACUUGAGCCAGUGCAAGUGGGUCCACUGGGAGGUGAGAGUGUCUGCCAAAAUAUCUUUGACUUUCUUCAUAGUAACAGCCCAAGUUCAGACUCAGACUAUUUAGUUCCUUCUGAUCUGUGUUAUUCCACAAGUAGAGAGCUGAUUGUUUUAUGACUGCAUUGUCAGGGCUGUAAUGCUGACGAACAAGUGAAGAUGAUUGAGAGGGUGAGAGAGUAUAACAGCAAACAGGAAGAGAAAAACAGAAUAACCAUUUCUGUGGAAAUCGAGAAGACCAGGGAACCCCUCUACCAGCUUUUCCCUCUUGGCGAUUUGAUAUGUUUUCACUCCAUGUUUUAGACAUCAAACUGGACUGAAUAAAACGCAUUGUUUGAACUUGGAUAAUAUUAAAAUAUAAUUUAAUAUUAAAAAUAAUAUUAAAAUAUUAAUUUAACA
Molecule: long non-coding RNA, 3119 nt
Organism: Ctenopharyngodon idella (grass carp)
Lineage: Eukaryota; Metazoa; Chordata; Actinopteri; Cypriniformes; Xenocyprididae
Exons: 2
Source: RefSeq, a predicted model, not a curated record